Molecule: non-coding RNA, 73 nt
Organism: Stegodyphus mimosarum
Lineage: Eukaryota; Metazoa; Arthropoda; Arachnida; Araneae; Eresidae
Source: Rfam
GCGUACGUGGUGUAGUGGUCAGCACGCUCGACGUGUAACCGAGAGGUGCGUGGUUCGAUUCCACGCGAAGACG